AAGGAUAUAUUCGGAACAUCUUCUUCAGAAGAUGCGGAAUARCGUGACAUAUUGUAUUCAGUUUUGAAUGUUUAUUUAACAUUCAAAUAUUUUUUGGUURAAGYGAUAUUGCUUUUGAAAAUAAAGCAGUAUGCGAGCGCUUGACUAAAAAGAAAUUGUACAUUGAAAACUAGAUAAGUAAGUAAAAUAUAGAUUUUACCAAGCAAAACCGAGUGAAUAAAGAGUUUUAAAUAAGCUUGAAUUCAUAAGAAAUAAUCGCUAGUGUUCGAAAGAACACUCACAAGAUUAAUAACGCGUUUCCUGUAGGAUGGAAACAUA
This 318-nucleotide unclassified non-coding RNA is filed under the name Staphylococcus schweitzeri. RNAcentral's name for it is "16S-23S ribosomal RNA intergenic spacer". Lineage: Bacteria; Bacillati; Bacillota; Bacilli; Caryophanales; Staphylococcaceae. The record is from RNAcentral.